GCAGCAGCCGCGGUAAUACGUAGGGUGCAAGCGUUAAUCGGAAUUACUGGGCGUAAAGCGUGCGCAGGCGGUUCGUUAAGACAGAUGUGAAAUCCCCGGGCUUAACCUGGGAACUGCAUUUGUGACUGGCGAGCUAGAGUAUGGCAGAGGGGGGUAGAAUUCCACGUGUAGCAGUGAAAUGCGUAGAGAUGUGGAGGAAUACCGAUGGCGAAGGCAGCCCCCUGGGCCAAUACUGACGCUCAUGCACGAAAGCGUGGGGAGCAAACAGGAUUAGAUACCCGAGUAGUCCCUGUCUCUUAUAC
RNAcentral lists this ribosomal RNA (302 nucleotides) under uncultured bacterium. RNAcentral's name for it is "partial 16S ribosomal RNA". It matches the Rfam family "Bacterial small subunit ribosomal RNA", at positions 508 to 807 of the family's 1533-position model. The record is from RNAcentral.